Oncorhynchus nerka (sockeye salmon) is the source of this 3322-nucleotide long non-coding RNA. RefSeq lists it as uncharacterized. The record is from RefSeq and is a predicted model, not a curated record. The transcript is spliced from 2 exons. Lineage: Eukaryota; Metazoa; Chordata; Actinopteri; Salmoniformes; Salmonidae.
UUCACCUGGAGGGGGAGAGGAAAGGGUCAGUUCAGGAUUAGGGAUCCAUUGCACUUUUCACACUACUGAGCCUAGCUAAACUGAGUUUAGCAGUACUGGCCUGAUUAUACAUUUAACAUAGCGCUGAAAAGGACAAUGUGAAAAGACAUAUCAGAGCCAGCACGGUACAGUUUGGUAAGAUAGUGUGUAAAGGGUGCCAGCUUUACUUGUAGUACCAGGCACCAAACAGUCAGAGAUCUGCUUUGUUAAAUGUCUGCUGUUAAGAAGGGAGAUAGAUGGGUGGCAUUAACACUUCUAUGAUUAUCCUGACAGAGAGACAGAAAACGGCUAAGUAGAUCUAAGUAGUCUGCUUUGCCCUUAAAAGCUAAAAGGGUUUAUCUAAUGUGUGGUUGAUGAUUAAUUGUGCAACGCUAUCUUGUUGGGCCGGAUUGAGGAAGUUGGGGGAUGGGGUGUGUUUGCUAUGUGUAACCACGUCUACUUCACCCACCAACUACAUACAGCCUGGCAUUCAAUGGGCAAGGCAGGAAGACACCACGCACUACUGAAAGACGAUUAAAAUUACCAUUAGAAAACAAGCGGAAAGCUAGGGCCAAACCGAAUCCCUUGUUUUUUUGUAGAAGAGGUGAAAUUACAUAACUUAUGGCUAAACAUUUUCAAAGUCUUCGAUUAAAAAACAUCGUUAAUCAUAUGGUUAUAGGCCAUGGAUAAUUUGGCAGUGCAAUGCAGAGGCCACCGAAAAACAAAUCUCCCUGUAAUUGACACCAGAUGUUUAACCACGAUGUUUUGCAUAAAUUGAUACUGUGUGUCCACGCUUGAGCGAAUGCAAACUCUUGGGAAGUACGCUGCAACAUCUGUAUCAAUUUGAUAAUUUCUACGAAAAGCGAAAUCCUGUCUGUUUAUAAUGCUUUUAGACUGCCCAAAUAGUUCACAUCCACCGUGCAGGCAGGUACACGGUAGCCAUUGCUGACAAGUAUGCUAACCUAGUUCCACUUGUCUAGGCAUGCAUCGAUUAUAUCAGGUAAGUUGCAGAAUGCGAAAAAUAUGCAAUUAACAUGCCCUCAUUAUUCGAAUAGGUUCGUGAGAUCUACCGCCAAACGCAGACAGAGGAAAUGAAGCAGAACUAUAUGACUUCCGUCCCCAUUUUCGGGAUCAGACGCUUUGCCUCUCCAAAUGGAGGAAGCAGUCGCCUAGAGUUCAACACUGUCCUCUGCUGAGCUGCGUGAAAUGCUUGGAGACAGAAAUGACAGCAACGUAACGGUUACAUAUUCCUUGCAAUUUCAUUGGGCGAGGUGAGUUUGAGGUUGCAGUAAUAACGAAAGGAAAAGGGUGUGGGCUUCAAGUCGUUUUUUUUAUUUACUUCUUCUUUUUUUUUCUUUUUUUUUACAAAUGCCAUGAAUUUAACAAAGUAUUGGAAUGUGAAUGCCCUGCAAAUGGUUAGGAUUUCUGACUUGUCUUAGUAAGACUGCAUUGUUGUGAAUGUUUUUUUUUUUUCAUCAGUCAGGGGAAAACUAUACCUGGAGCAGUGGCCACCUGUCAUGUUCUCUAGUUGUUUUGUGCUUCACGUGUUUAGCCAAAUAUAUAUUUUAUCUGUUUAAAAGUUUGGGGCCACUUGGGGUCCUUGUUUUUUGAAAGAAAAGCAAAACAUUUUGUCCAUUAAAAUAACAUCAAAUUGAUCAGAAAUACAGUGUAGACAUUGUUAAUGUUGUAAAUGACUUUUGUACUGGAAACGGCUGAUUUUUAAUGGAAUGUCUACAUAGACCUACAGAGGCCCAUUAUCAGCAACCAUCACUCCUGUGUUCCAAUGGCACGUUGUGUUAGCUAAUCCAAGUUUAUCAUUUUAAAAAGCUAAUUGAUCAUUAGAAAACCCUUUUGCAAUUAUGUUAGCACAGUUAAACUGUUGUUCUGCUUAAAGAAGCAAUAAAACUGGCCUUCUUUAGACCAGUUAAGUAUCUGGAGCAUCAGCAUUUGUGGGUUCGAUUACAGGCUCAAAAUAGCCCGAAACAAAGAACUUACUUCUGAAACUCGUCAGUCUAUUCUUGUUCUGAGAAAUGAAGGCUAUUCCAUGUGAGAAAUUGCCAAGAAACUGAAGAUCUCGUACAUCGCUGUAUACUACUCCCUUCACAGAAAAGCGCAAACUGAAUCUAACCAGAAUAUAAAGAGGAGUGGGAGGCCCCGGUGCACAUCUGAGCAAGAGGACAAGUGCAUUAGUGUCUAGUUUGAGAAACAGACACCUCACAAGUCCUCAACUGGCAGAUUCAUUAAAUAGUACCCGAAAAAAAACAGUCUCAACAUCAACAGUGAAGAGGCGACUCCGGGAUGCUGGCCUUCUAGGCAGAGUUCCUCUGUUCUUUUGCCCAUCUUAAUCUUGGCCAAUAAAAAGAAAAGAUUAAGAUGGGCAAAAGAACACAGACACUGGACAGAGGAACUCUGCCUAGAAGGCCAGCAUCCCAGAGUUGCAUCUUCACUGUCAAGAAUCACAAGCAAUGGACAUUAGACUGGUGGAAAUCUGUCCUUUGCAUUAAUGAGUCCAAAUUUGAGAUUUUUGGUUCCAACGCUGGGUCUUUGUGAGACGCAGAGUAGGUGAACAGAUGAUACACGCAUGUGUGGAUCCCACCGUGAAGCAUUGAGGAGGAGGUGUGGUAGUGUUUUGCUGGUAACAAUGAUUUAUUUAGAAUUCAAGGAACACUUAACCAGCAUGGCUAACACAGCAUUCUGCAGCGAUACGCCAUCCCAUCUGGUUUGUGCUUAGUGGGACUAUCAUUUGUUUUUCAACAGGACAAUGACCCAACACACCUUCAGGCUGUGUAAGGGCUAUUUGACCAAGGAGAGUGAUGGAGUGCUGCAUCAGAUGACCUGGCCUCUGCAAUCACCCAACCUCAACCCAAUUGAGAUGGUUUGGGAUGAGUUGGACCACAGAGUACAGGAAAAGCAGCCAACAAGUGCUCAGCAUAUGUGGGAACUCAUUCAAGACUGUUGGAAAAGCCUUCCAGGUGAAGCUGGUUGAGAGAAUGCCAAAAGUGUGCAAAGCUGUCAAGACAAAGGGUGGCUACUUUGAAAAAUCUCAAAUUUAACUUUUUUUUGGGGGUUACUACAUGAUUCCAUGUGUGUUAUUUCAUAGUUUUGAUGUCUACACUAUUAUUCUACAAUGUAGAAAAUAGUAAAAAUCAAGAAAAACCCUUGAAUGAGUCAGUGUGUCCAAACCUUUGACUGGUACACACAUUUUAUAUAUAAAAUAUUUUGGGGGGCAUUAAUAUGUGCCACAUAUCAGUUUGCAAACAAUGUAUAAACUAACAAUUAUUGAGUUAAUAAAGCUGCAUACAUA